UGGCUUAGUGGUAGAGCGCUUGCCUUGCAUGCAUGAGGCCGUAGGUUCAAUUCCUC
Molecule: transfer RNA, 56 nt
Filed under: Dipodomys ordii (Ord's kangaroo rat)
Lineage: Eukaryota; Metazoa; Chordata; Mammalia; Rodentia; Heteromyidae
Rfam family: tRNA
About the family: Transfer RNA (tRNA) molecules are approximately 80 nucleotides in length.
Source: Rfam by way of RNAcentral